This 1816-nucleotide long non-coding RNA is filed under the name Triticum aestivum (bread wheat). RNAcentral describes it as "long non-coding RNA (TAES_LNC013331)". Lineage: Eukaryota; Viridiplantae; Streptophyta; Magnoliopsida; Poales; Poaceae. The record is from RNAcentral.
UGGUACCAAAUUUCUAUAAGGUUUUUGUAAUUAUGUUUAUGUUAGAAGGUUUAGAUGCCAUACUCUGCAUGGACUGUUACUAAAAGAAAUUUCCGUUGUUCUUAGGUACUAAUCAGGUUAAUGACGCCGCCGAAUAGCUGUCGUUGGCUAUAAUGUGAUUAGGUACCAAUCCUGUUAUUAAAGCUGUUAUGGUAUAUGCUGCUGCUACAUAAUUAUACUCUUAUGUGGUCAGCCAAGUGUUCUUCUAGAUCUACCUUUGUGUAAUGUAUAACUGAAGUACGACCAUUUUCUUGCAUAAACUAAGCAUACUAGGAAGAAUACAAUGCCAAAAUAACUGUUAAAAUUUUGUGCGGCAAGAGUAAAUUGCCUUUUCUGUGCUUCAGAGUAGAUUGCUACAACAGAAUGUUCACAGUCACUAUUCCAAGUUUUUUGUGUGUCAGCCUGUCAGGCCUUAAGAGUAAAUUGCCUUUUCUGUACAUUCUGUUUGGCCGUUUGUUUGUUCUUGUGGCUUCCAAAAAAGAACCCUGGAAUGUUUGUUCUGCCAGGGCAGCUCUCUUUGGCUAGGACAUUUUGGCUAAAAAAACAUAAAUGAACCUAAAAUGUAUUAAUAUUUUAUAUCACUUUUUGUAUUGAUGUCCUUCAUGCAUGCUCAUCUACCAAGAGGUCAAUCCAAUAAUGCCACGCGCUCUUCAUCAGGCGCCAAGCCCUCCGAUGCCCAGCCGUGCGCUGUUGUCUCUGCCUGAAGAAGGAUUAUGGUCCUCCACCUCUCUGCUACUCGUAUUAAAAUUCCGGUGUGUUCUUUCUUUCUUUAUUUUCUGUCAACAAAAAGGUGAACCUGUUCUUAAUUUCCCAUAAUGAUUUCAAUGGAAAUUUGUGAGUGUAUUUCUAGCUGGAAUUGCAUGUAUAUCUUACAAAUUUACAUAGCAACAAAUUAAUAAGGAGAAUAGAAGCAUUUGCGUCCAUCUAACAUAUUUGUAUGGUAUUUUAAAAAAAGCUCAAGGUUAGAGAUAUGGCGCUGUAUGAGGCUAUCAUUAGGAUGGAAAAUAAAUUAAUGUUAAAAUAUUGCUUGAGUUUCCUUCAUUCUGUAAACCGCAAUACAAGCUAUGUUUGCGCAAUGAUUCUAUUCCAAUUUUUUUUAACAACUGGCAAUUAACAACACAUCAAAUGUUCUGUAUUGAAAUGGAUCAUUUUGUCAGGUUGGGUUUAGUAGGUCAUAAUGGUUUUAUUCCACGACAGGGUUAAUUUUGUUUAUAUUGUAACCAGUUCAGGUAAUACAGGGGAAAACAACAUUUUUUUGGUUCGUUUGGUAAGAAUAGUCGGGUAAUGAUCUUAAUGAAACACUGCAUUUGUUUGAUACAAGUCGCUGGUACAAUUUGCACCUGGCAAUAAAAUUGUAACACUAUCUAUUUUAUCAGGUAAAAACACCAGCAUGUUGUUUGAGGUGCAUGCAUCGGUUGUAGCGAAGAUGUGCAUAUGACAAUACAUUGCUAACCAUGGAGCACCGCAAGGAUUUAGAAUAUGUACCGCAACUUAGAGACUUGACACAUUGCCACUUGCUCCUACCACCAUGCAAGUGGGCGAUGCUUUAGUGUUGAACUAUUGAUUAAUCCCUCUUUUUUCUUUAAUCUAUGUGAUGGUGCCCCUUAUCAUAAAUAAUUGUUAUGUGGAUUCAAUAUAAAGGAUGUUUUAAACAUGUUUGAUAGUUAUAAAAACAAAUGUCAUUGACGAUACAUAUUGCUAUUAUGGAGACGUUUUGAACUAUUGUUCAACUGCUAUUCAAUGUUUGAUGCCCCUUCAUUAUUUUUUUAUACAAAAG